UACGGAGGAUGCAAGCGUUAUCCGGAUUCAUUGGGUUUAAAGGGUGCGUAGGCGGCUUUUUAAGUCAGUGGUGAAAUCCUGUCGCUUAACGAUAGAAUUGCCAUUGAUACUGAAAGGCUUGAGUACAGUUGAGGUAAGCGGAAUGUGUAGUGUAGCGGUGAAAUGCUUAGAUAUUACACAGAACACCGAUUGCGAAGGCAGCUUACUAAGCUGAAACUGACGCUGAUGCACGAAAGCGUGGGGAUCAAACAGGAUUAGAUACCCUGGUAGUCCACGCUGUAAACGAUGCUCACUCGCUGUUUGCGAUAUACAGCAAGCGGCCAAUCGAAAGAAUUAAGUGAGCCACCUGGGGAGUACGAUCGCAAGGUUGAAACUCAAAGGAAUUGACGGGGGCCCGCACAAGCGGAGGAACAUGUGGUUUAAUUCGAUGAUACGCGAGGAACCUUACCUGGGCUUAAAUGGGGACUGACGUAGGUGGAAACACUUAUUUCUUCGGACAGUCUUCAAGGUGCUGCAUGGUUGUCGUCAGCUCGUGCCGUGAGGUGUCGGGUUAAGUCCCAUAACGAGCGCAACCCUUAUCGUCAGUUGCCAGCGGGUGAUGCCGGGGACUCUAGCGAGACUGCCACCGUAAGGUGAGAGGAAGGUGGGGAUGACGUCAAGUCCUCAUGGCCCUUAUGGGUAGGGCUUCACACGUCAUACAAUGGUCGGUACAGAGGGUUGCCAAGCCGCGAGGUGGAGCCAAUCCCAGAAAGCCGAUCGUAGUCCGGAUCGCAGUCUGCAACUCGACUGCGUGAAGUCGGAAUCGCUAGUAAUCGCGGAUCAGCAUGCCGCGGUGAAUACGUUCCCGGGUCU
Molecule: ribosomal RNA, 852 nt
Filed under: uncultured bacterium
Lineage: Bacteria
Description: SSU rRNA
Rfam family: Bacterial small subunit ribosomal RNA
Source: RNAcentral